This 270-nucleotide ribosomal RNA is filed under the name uncultured archaeon. Its description in RNAcentral is "partial 16S ribosomal RNA". It matches the Rfam family "Archaeal small subunit ribosomal RNA", at positions 477 to 747 of the family's 1478-position model. The record is from RNAcentral.
CUGCAGCUCAAGUGGUGACCACUAUUAUUGGGCCUAAAACGUUCGUAGCCGGUUUGGUAAAUGCCUGGGUAAAUCGUGUAGCUUAACUAUACGAAUUCCGGGUAGACUGCCGAACUUGAGACCGGGAGAAGCUAGAGGUACUCCUGGGGUAGAGGUGAAAUUCUGUAAUCCUGGGGGGACCACCAGUGGCGAAGGCGUCUAGCUAGAACGGGUCUGACGGUGAGGAACGAAGCCCUGGGGCGCAAACCGGAUUAGAUACCCGAGUAGUCC